Molecule: non-coding RNA, 90 nt
Organism: Rhodocollybia butyracea
Lineage: Eukaryota; Fungi; Basidiomycota; Agaricomycetes; Agaricales; Omphalotaceae
Source: the annotation of a GenBank genome assembly
GGGCAUAUGGUGUAGGGGUUAUCACGUUCGCUUUGCAUAUGUUUGGAAGUUGUCUGCGAAAGGUCUCCGGUUCAAAUCCGGAUUUGUCCA